This 174-nucleotide ribosomal RNA is filed under the name Chelonopsis longipes. RNAcentral's name for it is "5.8S ribosomal RNA". The stretch from base 6 to 161 matches the Rfam family "5.8S ribosomal RNA". Rfam says of the family: 5.8S ribosomal RNA (5.8S rRNA) is a component of the large subunit of the eukaryotic ribosome. It is transcribed by RNA polymerase I as part of the 45S precursor that also contains 18S and 28S rRNA. The record is from RNAcentral. Lineage: Eukaryota; Viridiplantae; Streptophyta; Magnoliopsida; Lamiales; Lamiaceae.
UAAACGACUCUCGGCAACGGAUAUCUCGGCUCUCGCAUCAAUGAGGAACGUAGCGAAAUGCGAUACUUGGUGUGAAUUGCAGAAUCCCGUGAACCAUCGAGUCUUUGAACGCAAGUUGCGCCCGAAGCCUUCUGGCCGAGGGCACGUCUGCCUGGGCGUCACGCAUCGCGUCGC